Anolis carolinensis (green anole) is the source of this 120-nucleotide non-coding RNA. The record is from Rfam. Lineage: Eukaryota; Metazoa; Chordata; Lepidosauria; Squamata; Anolidae.
UCUUAGAGGCCAGAAUAUCUUAUGGGCAGUAGGUCUUAUCUGAUCUCAAAAGUUAAGCAGGGUUACACCUGGGUAGUAGUUGGAAGGGGAACCUUAAGAGAAUACCAGCUGCUGUAGGCU